RNAcentral lists this ribosomal RNA (301 nucleotides) under uncultured bacterium. Its description in RNAcentral is "partial 16S ribosomal RNA". It matches the Rfam family "Bacterial small subunit ribosomal RNA", at positions 509 to 808 of the family's 1533-position model. The record is from RNAcentral.
CAGCGCCGCGGUAAUACGAAGGGGGCUAGCGUUGUUCGGAAUUACUGGGCGUAAAGGGCGCGUAGGCGGCCAUUCAAGUUAGAUGUGAAAGCCCUGGGCUCAACCUAGGAAUUGCAUUUGAUACUGUUUGGCUUGAGUUCGGGAGAGGUGAGUGGAAUUCCCAGUGUAGAGGUGAAAUUCGUAGAUAUUGGGAAGAACACCAGUGGCGAAGGCGACUCACUGGACCGACACUGACGCUGAGGCGCGAAAGCGUGGGGAGCAAACAGGAUUAGAUACCCGAGUAGUCCCUGUCUCUUAUACA